This 583-nucleotide ribosomal RNA is filed under the name Curtobacterium sp. 3T2. Its description in RNAcentral is "bacterial SSU rRNA". It matches the Rfam family "Bacterial small subunit ribosomal RNA", at positions 49 to 647 of the family's 1533-position model. The record is from RNAcentral. Lineage: Bacteria; Bacillati; Actinomycetota; Actinomycetes; Micrococcales; Microbacteriaceae.
CUACCAUGCAGUCGACGAUGAUGCCCAGCUUGCUGGGUGGAUUAGUGGCGAACGGGUGAGUAACACGUGAGUAACCUGCCCCUGACUCUGGGAUAAGCGUUGGAAACGACGUCUAAUACUGGAUAUGAUCACUGGCCGCAUGGUCUGGUGGUGGAAAGAUUUUUUGGUUGGGGAUGGACUCGCGGCCUAUCAGCUUGUUGGUGAGGUAAUGGCUCACCAAGGCGACGACGGGUAGCCGGCCUGAGAGGGUGACCGGCCACACUGGGACUGAGACACGGCCCAGACUCCUACGGGAGGCAGCAGUGGGGAAUAUUGCACAAUGGGCGAAAGCCUGAUGCAGCAACGCCGCGUGAGGGAUGACGGCCUUCGGGUUGUAAACCUCUUUUAGUAGGGAAGAAGCGAAAGUGACGGUACCUGCAGAAAAAGCACCGGCUAACUACGUGCCAGCAGCCGCGGUAAUACGUAGGGUGCAAGCGUUGUCCGGAAUUAUUGGGCGUAAAGAGCUCGUAGGCGGUUUGUCGCGUCUGCUGUGAAAUCCCGAGGCUCAACCUCGGGCUUGCAGUGGGUACGGGCAGACUAGAGU